Molecule: long non-coding RNA, 272 nt
Filed under: Elaeis guineensis (African oil palm)
Lineage: Eukaryota; Viridiplantae; Streptophyta; Magnoliopsida; Arecales; Arecaceae
Description: long non-coding RNA (EGUI_LNC003023)
Source: RNAcentral
UUUCCACCUUUCUUCCUGUAGCAUCUACGAAAACACUCUCUCUCCUUCAUCACCAUGAUGACCUCCAAAAAUCCAUUAAGGACUCGAUCAAAGAGAGGAGGGCCGCCUCUAAGAAGACCCUCUCAUCCAAAAAGGCGAAGAGAGGGGAGCCGAGGUAGUCUGCCUCCCAAUCAAGUUGAGCUUUUGCUCCAUUUGCGGGGCCUAAAAGGAAGCCACCACCGCCUGUCAAGGGUGAGAGCACCUCUUUCUCCACUGAGCGGAUCCCCUACGUG